Molecule: long non-coding RNA, 345 nt
Organism: Pantherophis guttatus
Lineage: Eukaryota; Metazoa; Chordata; Lepidosauria; Squamata; Colubridae
Source: RefSeq, a predicted model, not a curated record
CAACAUGCUGGAAAGUUGUUGCCAGUCAAUCACUUUGGAAGAUUGAUGCCCUGUCAAUCACUGUCCUAGAACGAAGCACUUUUAAAGGAAGACUGCGACUGAGAUUUGAAGCAAACCUUCAACCUGUCAGGUCUAACUUCUUUAUUAUGAGACAAAUGGUUGUCUAAUCUCUUCUGACAAACUUCCAGUGUUGGAGCAUUCACAACUUCUGGAGGUAUUUCCAAGCAUUUUCCUGGCGGUAGAAUAGAGGUGCUUUGUCAUUGCUUUCUUCUGGGAUGGGCUUCUCUGGUUGUCUCUUAUCCAAGGACAUCUUGCCUGACCUUCUUAUCUUCAAAAUCCAGGCAA